This 491-nucleotide ribosomal RNA is filed under the name Bacillus sp. mrc49. Its description in RNAcentral is "bacterial SSU rRNA". It matches the Rfam family "Bacterial small subunit ribosomal RNA", at positions 1 to 478 of the family's 1533-position model. The record is from RNAcentral. Lineage: Bacteria; Bacillati; Bacillota; Bacilli; Caryophanales; Bacillaceae.
UCGGAGAGUUUGAUCCUGGCUCAGGACGAACGCUGGCGGCGUGCCUAAUACAUGCAAGUCGAGCGAAUCGACGGGAGCUUGCUCCCUGAGAUUAGCGGCGGACGGGUGAGUAACACGUGGGCAACCUGCCUAUAAGACUGGGAUAACUUCGGGAAACCGGAGCUAAUACCGGAUACGUUCUUUUCUCGCAUGAGGGAAGAUGGAAAGACGGUUUACGCUGUCACUUAUAGAUGGGCCCGCGGCGCAUUAGCUAGUUGGUGAGGUAAUGGCUCACCAAGGCGACGAUGCGUAGCCGACCUGAGAGGGUGAUCGGCCACACUGGGACUGAGACACGGCCCAGACUCCUACGGGAGGCAGCAGUAGGGAAUCUUCCGCAAUGGACGAAAGUCUGACGGAGCAACGCCGCGUGAACGAAGAAGGCCUUCGGGUCGUAAAGUUCUGUUGUUAGGGAAGAACAAGUACCAGAGUAACUGCUGGUACCUUGACGGUAC